Molecule: long non-coding RNA, 586 nt
Organism: Podarcis raffonei (Aeolian wall lizard)
Lineage: Eukaryota; Metazoa; Chordata; Lepidosauria; Squamata; Lacertidae
Exons: 2
Source: RefSeq, a predicted model, not a curated record
GAGGCGCAAGGCAGGAGACUCCAGCCCUGGGCUCAAGUGUGACACUGGGCUGGGUGCACAGGGGAUUCCUGAGGCAGGGCAAUCUUGAAAAGGAUGUGGUUGAUACAAGACUCCCCAGGGAAUGUCAGCACCAGCCUGCACCCCUUUCCUCUGAGGAACACAGGUGCUCCCUGCUCCCUCUGUUCUGGCCUGCAUUCCCCGCAAAGCCCUUUGCCCCUGCAUAUGAUCUCUGUGCCCUCCACAGAGGCCAGGGACCUGAUGGAAGCCCCAACAUAGAACCUGCUGUGUUCCCCCCACAGCAGCCCAGCCCCCUUUCAACUACCAGCAAGAGAGCAUUAGCCCAGCGCCAGGCUCUCUGCAAUCCUGCCAGUGGCAGGUAGGGCAGUGUCAGACACCAGAGCCUCACCAAAGACCUUGCCUCCUUUGGGCAUCUGCGGAAGAGCCAUCCUGUUUUGCCUUGGGGUUAAGGGAGUCUUGGGAGCAGUUUUAUUCUGGUGCUUGUUUGCAGCUCCUACCUGGACAUGAGGGGGAAAGAGAUAUAGGAGGUUAAGUUUUGUAGCUCAAUAAAGCAAACAGCAAUCUGUGA